UACGAAGGGAACUAGCGUUGUUCGGAAUCACUGGGCGUAAAGCGCGCGUAGGCGGCCAUUCAAGUCAGAGGUGAAAUCCCGGGGCUUAACCCCGGAACUGCCUUUGAAACUGUAUGGCUAGAGUCUCGGAGGGGAUAGCGGAAUUCCUAAUGUAGCGGUGAAAUGCGUAGAUAUUGGGAGGAACACCAGUGGCGAAGGCGGCUCACUGGACCGGUUCUGACGCUGAGGCGCGAAAGCGUGGGGAGCAAACGGG
RNAcentral lists this ribosomal RNA (253 nucleotides) under uncultured bacterium. RNAcentral's name for it is "partial 16S ribosomal RNA". It matches the Rfam family "Bacterial small subunit ribosomal RNA", at positions 524 to 776 of the family's 1533-position model. The record is from RNAcentral.